UUUCCUCUGCGCUCUAACUUUCUGCUCACAGUUCUCGGUGUUUCUGUUUCCAUCUGCCUCUAUCAGAUAGAGAGCUUGCUUGCGGUGCCAUUCCUGCACCAAGGCUAGAAGGAUGCUGAAAACUUUUGAUAUGCUCAGACAGGAGCCUGGCAUAAUUGUUCUCUGAGAGGCUCCACCUAGCAGCUGACUGAAACAGAUGCAGAGACCCACAGCCAAACAUUGGAUGGAGCACAGAGCAUCCUAUGGAAGUUGGGGAAGGAUUGAUGGUCCUGGAAGGGAUAGGAACUCCACAGGAAGACCAACAGAGUCAACUAACCUGGAACCUAUGGGCUCUCAGAGACUGAACCACCAACCAAAGAGCAUUCAUGGGCUAGACCUAGGCCUCCCCACACAUAUGUAGCAGAUGUGCAGCUCAGUCUUCAUGCGGGUCCUCUAACAACUGGAAGUGAGGGCUGUCCCUAAAGCUGUGGCCUCUCUGUGGAUCCUGUUCCCCUAACUGAGCCGCCUUGUCUGGCCUCAGUGAGAGAGGCUGUGUAGAGACUUGCUGUACCAAGGUUGGGGAAUACCUUCUCUCAGAGGAAAAGGGAAGGAGUGGGAGAAAGAGAAAGAGAGAGAGAGAGAGAGAGAGAGAGAGAGAGAGAGAGAGAGAGAGAGAGAGAAAGAGAGAGAGAUCGAGAGAUCGUGUAAAGGGGGACAGAGAGGAGAGGGACAGCAAUUGGGAUACAAAGUGAAUAAACAAAUUAAUGGAAAAAGAGAGAGAAAGACUGAGAAAGCCAUGAGAGCAGACCAGUAAGCAGCGUCCUUCCACGGCCUCUGUAUCAGCUCCUGCUCCAGGUUCCUGCCUUUCUUGAGUUCCUGCCCUGGCUUCCUUCAGUGAUUAAGGAAGUGUCCUCCCAGAGUUGUUUUGGUCAUAGUUUCUCAUCACAGCAAUAGGAACUGGUUAACUUGACAGAAGUUUCUUCAGAAUGUUUUGCCCUGAAACUGACAUAGGCACUAAUAUUUCACAUCUAUAAUUGGUCACGAAUCCCAAGUUACUACACUGACACAGCCAUAUCCUCUGGGAACAGUGAGAGUCAUGAAGCCAGCACAGCUGCUUCGCACAGUUUCCCCAUAGCUGAGUUGAAUGUUGCAAUUGCUGUCAUUCUGCCUCUCACGUUUAGGCUUUUGGGUUCUGUGUGUUGCAUUCUUGAGGGCUUUCUGCAAUAUGAUCCAUUUUUAUGUAUUUUCCUGUGAAAAUUAUGUCCGAGUCUUUCUAGGAAAAUCCUAACAUCAACUUUAUCUGGCCCUAUUAGGAAACUUUUAUAUGGCCUGAAGACCAUUAAGCACAGAUAAGCACAUUAGGUAGAUGAGGCCAUAACUCUGGGAAUCCAUUUUUUGGGUGUCUGCCCCUGAGAAAAAUCAAGCAGUGUAAUUGGUGCAGGUUAGUAGAGACAACUGACCAAGUCUGACUGGUCAGGAGGAAAGGAUGCAGAGCGAAGGUCUCCCUUUACAAUACACUUAGGGCUCUCUGAACACAUAAUUUUGAGAUGGGGGUCAUACAGGGAGCACCUCUGGAGGAAGAGAACUCAGUAGAUAAAAUAGAUUUUUAUUUUAUUUUUUUUAAAAGCAUGUUUAUGUGAUUGCACAUAAAUGUCUGUGUAAAAAGGGCAUUAUGACAGUUGAUACCACAAAGAUUACAGUAAGAAAAGCACUUUAUGACAAUAUUUCACAAAUUCACAAGGAUCACUUUAAUAUACAAAGUAACUGCUACCAUUCUGAACACAAAGCAGCCAGUAUGUACAUAGUGUUAAUAAAAUGCAUGGUGUCUUGGUACUUUUAUUCUUUACACAUAAAGCACAAAAAGAUUUAGGUAAAAAAUUUAAACAGGGACGUUUCUAGAUUGUGGGAACGUUAUUAGAAAUGCAUGUCCCUUCUCAUAGUUAUUAGUAUUCUUCUCCAAUAGGAACAUCAGAGUUAAAGCUCAUACCCUGUUUUGUGCUAACAGUUCCGGGGAGGUAUUUUCUACUCCAGUACUCAAGGAAAACCCAAAAAGCCAAACACCAUUCUAGGACUUCCCUGGUUAUUUUGUUUUUCAAAAGUUUCAAGUGACAUGUCUAGGUUGGAAAUGAUCCCUUCCACUGGGGCAUUAUAACCGAUGUGUACAGAUCAGUUGAAGACAGCUUUACACAGAAAACUGCUAACUAGCACACUUCUUCACCAUCCUAAUAAAUUUACACACACAGAAAAAUGUUGACAAAAUUUCCCACUUUUAAUAUAAAUAAUUUUAUUACAUACACAUUGAAGUGGCACCUGGGUAAAAAUACGUCUAUAAAGCACUUACCAAUUCAAUUUUAAAAAACAUAAGAAAAUAAAACUUCCCAAAUAUAAUAAAUCAUUUCAUGUUGCCAACAUAGAUUAUGAUCUGCAGUGAUCUUUCUUCUCUACUGAUUUUCAACAUCUCAGACUUACUCUCAUCUCGAGAUGUCCAUUAGACAGAAGCUUAGAAAUGCUAUACUUCUAUGGGCAGGUAGUAGAUCAUGCCUGGGAAGUUUCCUACUGUUUGACCCUCUCGGAUACUUCCUAUAGAUUAUUACUCUUCUUCCUUUUUCUUGCUGGUAACAAUUUAAUAUUUACCCAGCUGGCCCCCGCCCCACCAGAGUGGGACAGGCCGGCUCAUCAUCAGCGUCUGUUCUCACACUGACAACUCGCUUCCCAAACUUUGCUCUCUUAUUUAUUUUUUUUAAUUUUU
Long non-coding RNA from Rattus norvegicus (Norway rat), 2728 nucleotides. RefSeq lists it as uncharacterized. Lineage: Eukaryota; Metazoa; Chordata; Mammalia; Rodentia; Muridae. The record is from RefSeq and is a predicted model, not a curated record.